CCACCCUCCCACCCCGUCUGUCUUGGGCUGUGGGCUGGGUCCACCUUGGCCGAGAGUUGUCCCAUUCCUCACGUGACGCCUGGAGCGCUGGGAGGCCGGCAGCCCCUGGCAGCACAGCGCCCCCUGCCUGCAGCGCUGCUCUGCUCCUCUCUCCAUCUAGCAGGGGGUCCCUGCUCACAUGGGAUGGGCAUGGGUGGGACUCAUGGUCUCCUUCAACCAGGUUGACUGAGUGCCUACUAGAGGGCACCGGGAGGCGACGCAGCCAGAGGGAAGCAGAUUCGGAGCCAGGCUGCCUGCGCGGACUCCCGGUUCCCUCACUGACCAGCCGCGUGGCACUGGGCAGACGCCUCAGCGUUCUCGAGUUCAUUUCCUCACCGGUGAUAUGGAGAUGGCCCUGGCAGCUACCUCACGGGGAGGGUAGAAAGAGCAAAUGAAUUAACGCACAGAGAGCACUCAGCAGAGACGUACUGUGCACACGUUCGCUCCUGUCCCAGGCCAGGGCUGCUGUAGGCGUCCGAAGACGCGGGCUUCGCUCAGGAGCUGCACCACAUGACACGGGAGGGGACAGGUGCACGAGGCGUGGGAACAUGCAGGUGUCGCUCAGUAGCUGUGCCACACAGCACUGGGAGGGGACAGGUGCACGAGGUGGAGACUAACAGAGACGCUGCGCUCUGGAGCAGGACUGCAGGCAGGCCCUCCGGGAGGGGAAGCCGAGCCCCGCGGACAUGCAGGCUCAGCAGAUGCAGGGGAAAUGGAGUAGGCACAGCGUCCUAGCAGUGGCUCCCCAAGCUCUUCCUGAACCAGAACUCAGAGCCCCAGACCUGCCAAGAGGCUGCCCAGACAGCGGGACGGGAGCGGCUGGAGAGGGCCCCGCCUCACCUGGGUCCCCAUCCUUGUCCGAGUGAUGGGGGCACGGAUCCUCACCGCCUGGGGCAGCAGCACCUCCACCUCCAGAGAUCCUAGGAAAAGGGCUUCGGGGCUCAGGCCAGCGGGGGGUAGGGCCAUGUGCUGGGUCGGGUGUUUCAGGAAGGGACCCUUCCAAGGAAGGAGGCUCCUGCCGAGGCCAGCUCAGAAUCACAUGGCCAGAAGGCACCCACAGGGUGUCCAGCAUCAUGCUUCUCUGCCGGAGGCUGCCUGGCUUUGUGGGUGGCUCACCCCACAGGGAUCUGGCCACCGUCCUCCCUUCCCUCUGGACAUCCCAGCCUGGUCUUCUG
RNAcentral lists this long non-coding RNA (1214 nucleotides) under Equus asinus (donkey). RNAcentral describes it as "lncRNA (ENSEASG00005035939.1)". Lineage: Eukaryota; Metazoa; Chordata; Mammalia; Perissodactyla; Equidae. The record is from RNAcentral.